Molecule: ribosomal RNA, 492 nt
Filed under: uncultured bacterium
Lineage: Bacteria
Description: partial 16S ribosomal RNA
Rfam family: Bacterial small subunit ribosomal RNA
Source: RNAcentral
AGUGAACGCUGGCGGUAGGCCUAACACAUGCAAGUCGAACGGCAGCACAGUAAGAGCUUGCUCUUACGGGUGGCGAGUGGCGGACGGGUGAGGAAUACAUCGGAAUCUACUUUUUCGUGGGGGAUAACGUAGGGAAACUUACGCUAAUACCGCAUACGACCUACGGGUGAAAGCAGGGGAUCUUCGGACCUUGCGCGAUUGAAUGAGCCGAUGUCGGAUUAGCUAGUUGGCGGGGUAAAGGCCCACCAAGGCGACGAUCCGUAGCUGGUCUGAGAGGAUGAUCAGCCACACUGGAACUGAGACACGGUCCAGGCUCCUACGGGAGGCAGCAGUGGGGAAUAUUGGACAAUGGGCGCAAGCCUGAUCCAGCCAUACCGCGUGGGUGAAGAAGGCCUUCGGGUUGUAAAGCCCUUUUGUUGGGAAAGAAAAGCAGCAGGUUAAUACCCCGCUGUUCUGACGGUACCCAAAGUAUAAGCACCGGCUAACUUCGUG